CAUCUCUCAUUCUCUCUCAACCUCUCUGAGCUCUCUAUCUAUCUUUGAAUUUCUCUAUCUAUUUUCAUGAUUUUAUAACACGUUAUCAGCACGAUCUGCUUCUGAUCUGCGUCGGAAUCCAUCGAUCGGUUGUUCAAUCGUGUGAGAGAGUGGCAGAGAAAAAUUAAAAUAAAAAAGGACAUGGAGAAAGGCAACGUCAACGACUACCAUGUCCAUAGAUCUAGAAUUCUUACACGACUUGUC
Carya illinoinensis is the source of this 243-nucleotide long non-coding RNA. RefSeq lists it as uncharacterized. The record is from RefSeq and is a predicted model, not a curated record. Lineage: Eukaryota; Viridiplantae; Streptophyta; Magnoliopsida; Fagales; Juglandaceae. The transcript has 2 exons.